Non-coding RNA from Paramuricea clavata, 419 nucleotides. Lineage: Eukaryota; Metazoa; Cnidaria; Anthozoa; Malacalcyonacea; Plexauridae. The record is from the annotation of a GenBank genome assembly.
AAGGCCAUGCAUGCAACAAUUAAAUCUCGUUCUAAAAUUAAGAUCAUAAUUUUCCUCCUUUCUUGUUUUUUUUUUCCUUUCUUAUUUUUCUUUAUAAGUGACUUUCGUGAGUCGUGUUGGUGGCAAUGACCGUUCACCCACAAUGAAGGUUUCAAAAAAGUUUACAUGCAUGGGCAACAUUACUCAUGGUUUAAAGAAACAAAUUUACUGCAUUCCAUUCACGAUCCAACGCUUUGAGAAGCGUAUUGUCUUCUUUAGGGACAAUCUGAAGUCGCAACUCGCAAGUCACUGCCCCAAAAUUGAACCAACUAGACUAGAAUGUUGAAACAAUAGCUCGUGCAUCAAUGUAUUUUACUGAAGAAUUAUACUUACAUUCAUUCAGUGAACAAAGACAGUAUGGAAGCAUCUCAACUGAUAUU